GACGAACGCUGGCGGCGUGCUUAACACAUGCAAGUCGUACGGUAAGGCCCUUUCGGGGGUACACGAGUGGCGAACGGGAGAGUAACACGUGAGUAACCUGCCCACAACUUUGGGAUAACGCUAGUAAACUGGUGCUCAUACUGGAUAUGUUCUCCUGCUGCAUGGGGGGGGUUGGAAAGCUCCUGCGGUUGUGGAUGGACUCGCGGCCUAUCAGCUUGUUGGUGGGGUAGUGGCCUACCAAGGCGGCGACGGGGAGCCGGCCUGAGAGGGUGACCGGCCACAUUGGGACUGAGAUACGGCCCAGACUCCUACGGGGGGCAGCAGUGGGGAAGGUUGCACAAUGGGCGCAAGCCGGAUGAAGCAACGCCGCGUGCGGGAUGACGGCCUUUGGGUUGGAAGCCGCAUUCAGCAGGGACGGAGCUGUUUGUGACGGUACCUGCAGAAGAAGCACCGGCUAACUACGUG
This 465-nucleotide ribosomal RNA is filed under the name uncultured bacterium. Its description in RNAcentral is "partial 16S ribosomal RNA". It matches the Rfam family "Bacterial small subunit ribosomal RNA", at positions 28 to 507 of the family's 1533-position model. The record is from RNAcentral.